This 566-nucleotide ribosomal RNA is filed under the name Ambrosiozyma monospora. RNAcentral's name for it is "partial large subunit ribosomal RNA". It matches the Rfam family "Eukaryotic large subunit ribosomal RNA", at positions 62 to 648 of the family's 3401-position model. Lineage: Eukaryota; Fungi; Ascomycota; Pichiomycetes; Pichiales; Pichiaceae. The record is from RNAcentral.
AAACCAACAGGGAGUGCCUUAGUAGCGGCGAGUGAAGCGGCAAGAGCUCAAAUUUGAAAUCUGGUACCUUCGGUGCCCGAGUUGUAAUUUGAAGAAUACAAUCUUGGAAUUGGUCCUUGUCUAUGUUCCUUGGAACAGGACGUCACAGAGGGUGAGAAUCCCGUGCGAUGAGGAUACCUUUUCUUUAUAAGAUGUGUUCGACGAGUCGAGUUGUUUGGGAAUGCAGCUCUAAGUGGGUGGUAAAUUCCAUCUAAAGCUAAAUAUUGGCGAGAGACCGAUAGCGAACAAGUACAGUGAUGGAAAGAUGAAAAGAACUUUGAAAAGAGAGUGAAAAAGUACGUGAAAUUGUUGAAAGGGAAGGGUAUUUGAUCAGACUUGGUAUUUGGGUAUCUCUUCUCCUUGUGGGAGGGGCUCUACCCUUUUACUGGGCCAGCAUCAGUUCUUGUGGCAAGAUAAUCGCAGUUGAAUGUGGCUCUUCGGAGUGUUAUAGCUUCUGUUGAUGUUGCCUACGGGGACUGAGGUCUGCGGGUUUUCCCUAGGAUGCUGGCGUAAUGAUCAAACACCGC